AAAUUCAUUAAAGAUAGCCCCAGCACAUCAUGAGUUGGACCGGAUGAGCCAUGAGCUGGUCCCAUGAGGGCACUGUGACAAUAUCACCAAUGGGUAUAAAUUGGCAGUUCCCACACCUCAGAAGAGGUAAGACCUCAGUAAGGAGAGCAAGAAAGUGGUUCAGCAAGAGCUCCAGGAGAGGAGGCAUGGGGGACAUGAUGCUUGGCUGCAUUUCUGUGAGUAUUCCAAAGGUAAUUCUUUCUCCUCAGAGUUCAUUGUAUGUUUGUCUUGAUCUAAUGAUCAAGAUUAGAGAAAAAUAACUACACUUAUUUGCAGUAUGAUAAGAUCUUGAGCAAAACCCAUUUGUUACAUUUGUUUUGUAUUUGCAAAUGAAAUGUUCUAUUAAUAACAGUGGUGUUGUAGUGGAUAGAUAAAAUAUGAAAAUAUAAAAGAUAUGCUUCUUAAAAACAAAGUUUUUUUUCACUGUACUAACACUAUGUCUUUAUUUAUCAUCAUUACCUUUUUAGACACCAAUUAAGUCUAUUUUGUCAGAUGAGAAAAGAAUGUCAAUGCCUAGGAUAAGUUUAUUUUUAAUGGGGAAGGAGGAUAUUACAAAUACUUCCAUCAUUUCUAAACAUGGUUUUGUUUUGAAUCCUUUUGAUUCAGGGGAAAGAAUUAAAAUCUAAAAUCUAUUAAGCACUAUUAAAGAGGAAGUGAAAGAAUCCUGCAAUGUACUAUACAGAGAUUUUCAAAAAGUAAUGUAAAGUUUGAAACAGAAGUUCUAAUUAGAAUUUUUUGAUAUAUUUCUACUCAUACUUAUCAUACAGUAAACCACAUUGUAAAUAACAUGGUAUUAUAUGUAACAUUUUCCCUAAAAUUAAACAAUAACUAUAAAACAAGGAGUAUCCUUCUGUAUUUGGAAAGGUGUGCUGAUCAUGUGUGGUUCUUACAUUGCCAGAAUGAGCAAUACAAUCAUUCAGAAGGGAGAAAGUCACUUCUCCAUGUAAGCCGUGGAUAAAAGGUUAACUUGUACUAAAUGAACUUCUUUCUCCUUCCUACUCCCCAUUAGGAUGAAGUAAGUACCUUAUGAAUCAUUUGAAUUAUGCUUCCUAAGAUCAACAAUGUAUCCCUGUAUGUUACAGGAGAUGAGAGGCUAGAGAUGAAUCAAAAAGAACUCAUUUCCAGGUCAUGAAAAAACAACCAGAAAAAUAACCACCAGAUACUAGCACAAUAAAUACACUGUUUUAUGUAGCA
RNAcentral lists this long non-coding RNA (1233 nucleotides) under Phasianus colchicus (ring-necked pheasant). Its description in RNAcentral is "lncRNA (ENSPCLG00000003756.1)". Lineage: Eukaryota; Metazoa; Chordata; Aves; Galliformes; Phasianidae. The record is from RNAcentral.